Molecule: ribosomal RNA, 1062 nt
Filed under: Chloroflexaceae bacterium enrichment culture clone ENRICH_SalF
Lineage: Bacteria; Bacillati; Chloroflexota; Chloroflexia; Chloroflexales; Chloroflexaceae
Description: bacterial SSU rRNA
Rfam family: Bacterial small subunit ribosomal RNA
Source: RNAcentral
GAGUUUGAUCCUGGCUCAGAUUGAACGCUGGCGGAAUGCUUUACACAUGCAAGUCGAGCGGCAGCGCGGGGGCAACCCUGGCGGCGAGCGGCGAACGAGUGAGUAACACAUCGGAACGUACCCUAUCGUGGGGGAUAACGAAUCGAAAGAUUCGCUAAUCCCGCAUACGCUCGCAAGAGGAAAGCGGUAACGCGCUUGAGGAUGAGCCUGCGGCCCAUCAGGUAGUUGGUAGGGUAACGGCCUACCAAGCCUAUGACGGGUCCCUGGUCUGAGAGGACGACCAGGCAGACUGGGACUGAGACACGGCCCAGACUCCUACGGGAGGCAGCAGCAAGGAAUUUUCCCCAAUGGACGCAAGUCUGAGGGAGCAACGCCGCGUGGAGGAUGACGGCCUUCGGGUUGUAAACUCCUUUUGCUGGGGAAGAUAAUGACGGUACCCGGCGAAGAAGCCCCGGCUAACUCCGUGCCAGCAGCCGCGGUAAUACGUAGGGUGCAAGCGUUGUCCGGACUCACUGGGCGUAAAGCGCACGUAGGCGGUGGUCUGCGUCGGUGCUGAAAGCGCCAGGCUUAACCUGGCGAGGCGUCCGAUACGAGACGACUCGAGGCAGGCAGAGGAUGGCGGAAUUCCGGGUGUAGUGGUGAAAUGCGUAGAGAUCCGGAGGAACGCCUGUGGCGCAAGCGGCCAUCUGGGCCUGACCUGACGCUGAGGUGCGAAAGCGUGGGGAGCGAACCGGAUUAGAUACCCGGGUAGUCCACGCUGUAAACGAUGCCAGCUCGGUGUCUGUCCCCAUUACGGGGGUGGGUGCCUAAGCUCACGCGGUAAGCUGGCCGCCUGGGGACUACGAGCGCAAGCUUAAAACUCAAAGGAAUUGACGGGGGCCCGCACAAGCAGCGGAGCGUGUGGUUUAAUUCGACGCAACGCGAAGAACCUUACCCAGGCUUGACAUGCAGGUGCAUACGGCGGAAACGUCGUAGCCUUCGAGGGUUCUGCACAGGUGCUGCAUGGUUGUCGUCAGCUCGUGUCGUGAGAUGUUGGGUUAAGUCCCGCAACGAGCGCAACCC